UGGGGAAUAUUGCACAAUGGGCGCAAGCCUGAUGCAGCCAUGCCGCGUGUAUGAAGAAGGCCUUCGGGUUGUAAAGUACUUUCAGCGGGGAGGAAGGCGAUAAGGUUAAUAACCUUGUCGAUUGACGUUACCCGCAGAAGAAGCACCGGCUAACUCCGUGCCAGCAGCCGCGGUAAAACGGAGGGUGCAAGCGUUAAUCGGAAUUACUGGGCGUAAAGCGCACGCAGGCGGUCUGUCAAGUCGGAUGUGAAAUCCCCGGGCUCAACCUGGGAACUGCAUUCGAAACUGGCAGGCUAGAGUCUUGUAGAGGGGGGUAGAAUUCCAGGUGUAGCGGUGAAAUGCGUAGAGAUCUGGAGGAAUACCGGUGGCGAAGGCGGCCCCCUGGACAAAGACUGACGCUCAGGUGCGAAAGCGUGGGGAGCAAACA
RNAcentral lists this ribosomal RNA (427 nucleotides) under uncultured bacterium. Its description in RNAcentral is "partial 16S ribosomal RNA". It matches the Rfam family "Bacterial small subunit ribosomal RNA", at positions 355 to 774 of the family's 1533-position model. The record is from RNAcentral.